GGGGGAGGGGAGCAGGAUCUGAUGGACGUGGCUUGGGCCAAGUAUGGAGAGGAGAAUCAUACCAGCUUCAGGGCCAAAAUUCUGGUGCCUCCCUGGGUUGAUCCCCACAACUGACGAGGAGCCAGGAAUUUGCUCACUCUGCUGUCCUUCCAACUGACCGAGGGGACAGUGUGGUCUGGGGGACUUCACAAGAUGGCUGACAAGCUUUCCCUGUCCCAGUGGUAGAACGUUGGCCUCUGGUGUCCUACUUACUCCAGAGCUGUCAGACUUCUGUUGACCAGGAGGGAUCUGGCCAGAGCUUUGGCCCCUUUGUUACUGAUCUGGUUCUCAGCCAAGCUGCCCAAGGAGAAGGAGAAGAGUGGUUAUUGCUGGUCUACAACUGUCAUGGCCUCUUCCUCAACACCAGGCUUGUGACCCAAACCUCCCGGCUUCACCAGCAUCAUGAGGGCCUGGACGCAGGUGGAGAUGACGUGAGCCCUGGAGCAGAAUCGCCCAGGCCAGGAAAGCCUCUGAGCCGAGUAAGAGGGAUUGCAUUUCUAUCUCUGGCUGCUAGCCCAAGGGGAUCCUGCUAAUAGCCGGCCCUCAUCCAGUGCUUCCUCUGUGCCUGGCCCGUCCUCACCACUUGCCUUGAGUUAACCCACUGAAGCUGCUUCAACAACCGGAAGGGGGAAUGUGCAGGAAAGGGUUAACCUUGCCCCCAGUUCCGGAGAGGUGACCUCUGAACGCUUGUAAUGUCCUGCCUGAUAAGUCUGUCUGUGUUUACCUGGGGCCCUUGGGCCGUGCAGUAGCAGCCUGACGUCCCUACCUCCGGAGGGGCUUCCCAUGACCCACCUCCAGUAAAAUGUCUGGACCCAAGCCCGGGUGCGCCUCCCUGGUUAGAACGCUUCAUGUGUGCUGUUGCGCGUGGUGGCUGGAGAGGCGGGCCCCGUCUGCACCACCACAGCGGAAGGACAACUGAAAGCUUGCCCCUGUCUCUCGGGGGCCCGCCUCAUGCACCCUUCCCUCUGCACAUUUAAAUCCGUAUCCUUUUGAUGUCCUGAACCACAAGUGCAGGUACAACAGCUCUUCUGGGUUCUGUGAGUCCUUCUAGUGAAUCAUUAAACCUUUGGGGGGUCCCGGAGACCCCAGACUCACAGAUACCGUUUUAACCCCAUUUUUACACUCCUUUGGCACAGAGUUGACUGUACAGGGUCACACAGAGCCCACCGCUCACCACUGUCUUCCGUGACUUCUUUUGGCUCCUGACUCACUCCGUUUUUGUUUUCUCAGAGAUUAUUCCUGAACCCAGAGGAAGGCUUAAGUGAGGAUGAAGAAUUCCUCUCGGGAUCCUGUUCUCCAGACUCCUCUCCCUAGUUCUAACCACCCCCAGGUCACAAGCCCACUCCUCAGUGUUACUGAGACUUGGAAAUGUGAUCACAGGAGAUUUCACAAGCACGAAACUCUCUUUUGCCGUCAGCACACAGACUUGUGUCUCAUCACACCAUUAAAGGUUCAGUGUUUAAAUUUUAUUUUUUUGUACUCGUUUAAAUAAAAGUUCAAAUUUAAAUCCAAAUUUUAAAUUAAAACAUUUCUAAUUUAAUUUCCAGAGCCAAUCCUGUGCCUGUAAUACUGUUUUGAGGGCAAACUUGAGAGGAGCUUAGAGAACAUUGUGCCUCGCAGCACUUCUGAACGUUGAGUAUCUGCGGAAAUGCUCCCAUGUCCACCAGAGCACCUGACCCUCACCAUAUCCCUUCCCUCUUCUUACAGGUGAGGGACCUGAGCCUCUGGAACUUUCCGGAAGGGGCAGCAACAAGCAGCCACGUGUUUCCAAGGCACCUCUCCUUGCAGGCGCCUCUGGCCGGUUGAGCAGAGAGGAGGACGGGAAAAUAGCCCUGGACCCCGUGCGACAGGUCCACGAGGGCUUUCACUUGCCCAGCCGGGGAGCCGGGGCCUCGGCCCUGGCCUGCCUCCCCGCCGGUCCGCACCUCCUGCUUCCUCAUGGGGUCCGCGAUGGCCGCCAG
Molecule: long non-coding RNA, 2000 nt
Organism: Neofelis nebulosa (Clouded leopard)
Lineage: Eukaryota; Metazoa; Chordata; Mammalia; Carnivora; Felidae
Exons: 3
Source: RefSeq, a predicted model, not a curated record